Molecule: ribosomal RNA, 355 nt
Filed under: uncultured bacterium
Lineage: Bacteria
Description: bacterial SSU rRNA
Rfam family: Bacterial small subunit ribosomal RNA
Source: RNAcentral
AUGAACGCUGGCGGCGCGCCUAAUACAUGCAAGUCGAGCGAGAAGACGUAGCAAUACGUUUGUAAAGCGGCGAACGGGUGAGGAAUACAUGGGUAACCUACCCUCGAGUGGGGAAUAACUAGCCGAAAGGUUAGCUAAUACCGCGUACGCUUCUUGGACUUCGGUUCAGGGAGGAAAGCGAUGCCGAGGGUAUCGCGCUCUUGGAUGGGCUCAUGUCCUAUCAGCUUGUUGGUGAGGUAACGGCUCACCAAGGCUUCGACGGGUAGCUGGUCUGAGAGGACGAUCAGCCACACUGGCACUGCGACACGGGCCAGACUCUACGGGAGGCAGCAGUAAGGAAUAUUGCGCAAUGGGC